This is a long non-coding RNA of Cucumis sativus (cucumber), 717 nucleotides long. RefSeq lists it as uncharacterized. The transcript has 3 exons. The record is from RefSeq and is a predicted model, not a curated record. NCBI's taxonomy places the organism in Eukaryota, Viridiplantae, Streptophyta, Magnoliopsida, Cucurbitales, Cucurbitaceae.
GAUAACCUCCAUCGCAAACCAAUUUUCUCCAGAAUUUUCUUUUUCCGCCUCAGUGCACGCUGGUCUAACCUCUGAACCCUAAUACUGAUUUUCCUUUUCCUUUUCCUUUUCUUCUUCUCAUUAUCAGACGUUUGUGAAUUCUACGGCCUUUGUGAUUCAGGUGAGGAAAUUUUUUGUCUGUAUGGACAUCCUAAUGAAACAUGGGAAAUGGUUCUUCCAGUAGGCAGAGGUUCCACCGGAGCUUCUAGAGCCUGCACUUGGAAUUAAUUUUGCAACAGAUGGCAUGGACAGAAAAUAUUGGCGACCUCUUGUUGCUGUACAUGGUGAUUCCUGUUUGCUCUCUGUGGCUUUCUAUUUUGGAGCAAGACUUGACCGAAGCAAAAGGGUAACUGAAACAUUCAAAGCCUUGCUUUCGGCUUCCCUAGCUAAGCCACAAUGAUGUUUUUCUAUCCUUUGGGCACUGAGAAAAGGCAGAUGCUGCAAAUGAAGGGGGUACACCUUACAAGACAAUGUUUGAUGCUUUUGCAGGUAAAAUUUGUAUUAGUUGUUAUGUCUGGAAGUGAUUUUAUAUUAUUAUAGUUGGUUAUUAGUUGUUAUAAGUAAUUCUGAAGUGUGGCAAUGAUUAUUUAGAGUGAAAUCUGGGCUCUGACAUACAUGAUUUAUGUUCUUUGUAAUUCUGUGCUCAUUAUCUAUGUGAGUAUGCGUUCUUGUCCUCAA